UUGUAUAAUGGGUCAGCGACUUAUAUUCAGUGGCAAGCUUAACCGUAUAGGGUAGGCGUAGCGAAAGCGAGUCUUAAUAGGGCGUUUAGUCGCUGGGUAUAGACCCGAAACCGGGCGAUCUAUCCAUGAGCAGGUUGAAGGUUAGGUAACACUGACUGGAGGACCGAACCCACUCCCGUUGAAAAGGUAGGGGAUGACUUGUGGAUCGGAGUGAAAGGCUAAUCAAGCUCGGAGAUAGCUGGUUCUCCUCGAAAGCUAUUUAGGUAGCGCCUCAUGUAUCACUCUGGGGGGUAGAGCACUGUUUCGGCUAGGGGGUCAUCCCGACUUACCAAACCGAUGCAAACUCCGAAUACCCAGAAGUGCCGAGCAUGGGAGACACACGGCGGGUGCUAACGUCCGUCGUGAAAAGGGAAACAACCCAGACCGCCAGCUAAGGUCCCAAAGUUGUGGUUAAGUGGUAAACGAUGUGGGAAGGCUUAGACAGCUAGGAGGUUGGCUUAGAAGCAGCCAUCCUUUAAAGAAAGCGUAAUAGCUCACUAGUCGAGUCGGCCUGCGCGGAAGAUGUAACGGGGCUCAAACCACACACCGAAGCUGCGGGUGUCACGUAAGUGACGCGGUAGAGGAGCGUUCUGUAAGCCUGUGAAGGUGAGUUGAGAAGCUUGCUGGAGGUAUCAGAAGUGCGAAUGCUGACAUGAGUAACGACAAUGGGUGUGAAAAACACCCACGCCGAAAGACCAAGGGUUCCUGCGCAACGUUAAUCGACGCAGGGUUAGUCGGUUCCUAAGGCGAGGCUGAAAAGCGUAGUCGAUGGGAAACAGGUUAAUAUUCCUGUACUUCUGGUUACUGCGAUGGAGGGACGGAGAAGGCUAGGCCAGCUUGGCGUUGGUUGUCCAAGUUUAAGGUGGUAGGCUGAAAUCUUAGGUAAAUCCGGGGUUUCAAGGCCGAGAGCUGAUGACGAGUCGUCUUUUAGAUGACGAAGUGGUUGAUGCCAUGCUUCCAAGAAAAGCUUCUAAGCUUCAGGUAACCAGGAACCGUACCCCAAACCGACACAGGUGGUCGGGUAGAGAAUACCAAGGCGCUUGAGAGAACUCGGGUGAAGGAACUAGGCAAAAUGGCACCGUAACUUCGGGAGAAGGUGCGCCGGCUAGGGUGAAGGAUUUACUCCGUAAGCUCUGGCUGGUCGAAGAUACCAGGCCGCUGCGACUGUUUAUUAAAAACACAGCACUCUGCAAACACGAAAGUGGACGUAUAGGGUGUGACGCCUGCCCGGUGCCGGAAGGUUAAUUGAUGGGGUUAGCGCAAGCGAAGCUCUUGAUCGAAGCCCCGGUAAACGGCGGCCGUAACUAUAACGGUCCUAAGGUAGCGAAAUUCCUUGUCGGGUAAGUUCCGACCUGCACGAAUGGCGUAACGAUGGCGGCGCUGUCUCCACCCGAGACUCAGUGAAAUUGAAAUCGCUGUGAAGAUGCAGUGUAUCCGCGGCUAGACGGAAAGACCCCGUGAACCUUUACUGUAGCUUUGCACUGGACUUUGAGCCUGCUUGUGUAGGAUAGGUGGGAGGCUUUGAAGCGUGGACGCCAGUUCGCGUGGAGCCAUCCUUGAAAUACCACCCUGGCAUGCUUGAGGUUCUAACUCUGGUCCGUGAUCCGGAUCGAGGACAGUGUAUGGUGGGCAGUUUGACUGGGGCGGUCUCCUCCUAAAGAGUAACGGAGGAGUACGAAGGUGCGCUCAGACCGGUCGGAAAUCGGUCGCAGAGUAUAAAGGCAAAAGCGCGCUUGACUGCGAGACAGACACGUCGAGCAGGUACGAAAGUAGGUCUUAGUGAUCCGGUGGUUCUGUAUGGAAGGGCCAUCGCUCAACGGAUAAAAGGUACUCCGGGGAUAACAGGCUGAUACCGCCCAAGAGUUCAUAUCGACGGCGGUGUUUGGCACCUCGAUGUCGGCUCAUCACAUCCUGGGGCUGAAGCCGGUCCCAAGGGUAUGGCUGUUCGCCAUUUAAAGUGGUACGCGAGCUGGGUUUAGAACGUCGUG
Molecule: ribosomal RNA, 2027 nt
Filed under: Pseudomonas aeruginosa
Lineage: Bacteria; Pseudomonadati; Pseudomonadota; Gammaproteobacteria; Pseudomonadales; Pseudomonadaceae
Description: bacterial LSU rRNA
Rfam family: Bacterial large subunit ribosomal RNA
Source: RNAcentral